AGUGAACGCUGGCGGUAGGCCUAACACAUGCAAGUCGAACGGCAGCACAGUAAGAGCUUGCUCUUACGGGUGGCGAGUGGCGGACGGGUGAGGAAUACAUCGGAAUCUACUUUUUCGUGGGGGAUAACGUAGGGACACUUACGCUAAUACCGCAUACAACCUACGGGUGAAAGCAGGGGAUCUUCGGACCUUGCGCGAUUGAAUGAGCCGAUGUCGGAUUAGCUAGUUGGCGGGGUAAAGGCCCACCAAGGCGACGAUCCGUAGCUGGUCUGAGAGGAUGAUCAGCCACACUGGAACUGAGACACGGUCCAGACUCCUACGGGAGGCAGCAGUGGGGAAUAUUGGACAAUGGGCGCAAGCCUGAUCCAGCCAUACCGCGUGGGUGAAGAAGGCCUUCGGGUUGUAAAGCCCUUUUGUUGGGAAAGAAAAGCAGCAGGUUAAUACCCCGCUGUUCUGACGGUACCCAAAGAAUAAGCACCGGCUAACUUCGUG
RNAcentral lists this ribosomal RNA (492 nucleotides) under uncultured bacterium. Its description in RNAcentral is "partial 16S ribosomal RNA". It matches the Rfam family "Bacterial small subunit ribosomal RNA", at positions 29 to 507 of the family's 1533-position model. The record is from RNAcentral.